Long non-coding RNA from Oncorhynchus tshawytscha (Chinook salmon), 333 nucleotides. The record is from Ensembl. Lineage: Eukaryota; Metazoa; Chordata; Actinopteri; Salmoniformes; Salmonidae.
ACAAGUAUAGGUGGUGUGUAGAGGUGAGGUGAGGUGUAUAUACUCACUAUGUGUAGAGGUGAGGUGGUGUGUAGAGGUGAGGGUGUGUAGAGGUGAGGUGGUGUCUAGAGGUGAGGGUGGUGUGUAGAGGUGAGGUGGUGUCUAGAGGUGAGGGUGGUGUGUAGAGGUGAGGGUGUGUAGAGGUGAGGUGGUGUCUAGAGGUGGUAUAUACUCACUAUGUGUAGAGGUGACGGUGAGGUGGUCAGGCCGUGGAAGGAGAUACUGUAGUCAACGGUGACGUCACCAAGGCUGGCCCACCACCGGGCGACACAUAACUCUACUGUCCUCCCCGAC